UUGUUUUUUUCAUCUGUCAUCUUAGAGCAUCUCCAACGGUGAAAAUUUGGAGUUCUCUUGUGGGUCUCUCUUGAUUAUGUUGAAAAAAAUUAAAUCAAAACUGAUAUGUAUCCACAUAAACCGGAUAAUCUUAGAAUUAUUUACCAAGCGAUGGAUUUUGCAAUAUGAGUAGCAAAAACUAUAAUAAACUGUAAGAAGACUUGCAACAAGAUAAUCU
This 217-nucleotide small RNA is filed under the name Arabidopsis thaliana (thale cress). RNAcentral's name for it is "ATSL047760". Lineage: Eukaryota; Viridiplantae; Streptophyta; Magnoliopsida; Brassicales; Brassicaceae. The record is from RNAcentral.